UAAAUAAAUUGGAAAAUUUCUUUGUCUUUUAAUACAUUCAACAAUUAGUUUAUGAGCGAGAGAUUUCUAUCACGCUUACAAAUGGAAAGCGAAUAAUCUUGUUGUUUUAGUAUGAAUCUAUUAGUCGUACAAAACUUCGUGUAAAUAGUCUGCAGAGUAAUUUCGAAACCAACCGCACACCGCUGAGCCACUCACUAUUCACAGCAGAAUAGAUAGCGAUUAGCGUAGCUAAUCAGAGAACGGCAUUCAUAAUAGGAGGCCAGUAGAUAUAUUGAUACAAAAACAAAUAUUACACAGCUCUUGAAUAAAUCCCUCAAGCCGCUUAAUAAAUUCGACGUCAAUAUACGAUGCAAUAAACUAACAUUGGACAUGUUCUAUGUAAAUCAAUUGACAUCUUCCUUGAAAAGUUUCGGCAUCAAUUUCCCCGCUUGCAUGUAAUUAAACGCUUGCCAAUAAGCUGGACUUAGCUGGUUGGGACUCGUCGUGAAAAAAAGAAUAUAUCCGACGAAAAAUCGUUUUGUUUAAUGGGCGCUUUUUUUGCUGGAUCCGGCGAGCCUAAGAGAGCAGAUGGAUGGUGUCAAGAAAAAUACUUGCGGGAGACAGCAACUGUAUUUUGCAUUGUUGAUAGCCACUUUUAUCCUUAUCACUUAUUCAGGCUUCACUCUUACCAGAAAUGCCAGUGAGGGGAAACCUCUCGAUUACCGUGUCACAAACAGAACUGUUCCAC
Orbicella faveolata is the source of this 727-nucleotide long non-coding RNA. The record is from RefSeq and is a predicted model, not a curated record. Lineage: Eukaryota; Metazoa; Cnidaria; Anthozoa; Scleractinia; Merulinidae.